GUCAGUGUGGUUUAAUGGUUUGGGUGUUGGACUAGGACUCUGAGACCAGGGUUCAAAUCCCUCUUAGCCA
This 70-nucleotide transfer RNA is filed under the name Phrynosoma platyrhinos (Desert horned lizard). Its description in RNAcentral is "tRNA-OTHER". The record is from RNAcentral. Lineage: Eukaryota; Metazoa; Chordata; Lepidosauria; Squamata; Phrynosomatidae.